This 307-nucleotide ribosomal RNA is filed under the name uncultured Oscillospiraceae bacterium. RNAcentral's name for it is "bacterial SSU rRNA". It matches the Rfam family "Bacterial small subunit ribosomal RNA", at positions 355 to 676 of the family's 1533-position model. Lineage: Bacteria; Bacillati; Bacillota; Clostridia; Eubacteriales; Oscillospiraceae. The record is from RNAcentral.
UGGGGAAUAUUGGGCAAUGGGGCGAAAGCCUGACCCAGCAACGCCGCGUGAAGGAAGAAGGUCUUCGGAUUGUAAACUUCUUUUAUGAGGGACGAAGGACGUGACGGUACCUCAUGAAUAAGCCACGGCUAACUACGUGCCAGCAGCCGCGGUAAUACGUAGGUGGCAAGCGUUAUCCGGAUUUACUGGGUGUAAAGGGCGCGUAGGCGGGGAUGCAAGUCAGAUGUGAAAUCUAUGGGCUUAACUCAUAAACUGCAUUUGAAACUGUAUCUCUUGAGUGCUGGAGAGGUAGAUGGAAUUCCUGUGU